This is a long non-coding RNA of Sinocyclocheilus grahami, 89 nucleotides long. RefSeq lists it as uncharacterized. The transcript is spliced from 3 exons. The record is from RefSeq and is a predicted model, not a curated record. Lineage: Eukaryota; Metazoa; Chordata; Actinopteri; Cypriniformes; Cyprinidae.
CUGAAAAAAGAUGUCCACAAACAGCUGUACUCUUUUUCCUGCUUGAUCCGUGCACUAAUAAUUCUACAAGAGACAUCUUAGAAACCUUG